Molecule: long non-coding RNA, 468 nt
Organism: Daphnia pulex (common water flea)
Lineage: Eukaryota; Metazoa; Arthropoda; Branchiopoda; Diplostraca; Daphniidae
Exons: 2
Source: RefSeq, a predicted model, not a curated record
CGACGUGUGACGUAAGGUAUAUAUACACACGUAUACACACAUACGCAGAGCCGCGACGUAUUUAUCCAACACGUGACCCCCGGGUGACGGAGAAAUGGCGCGCAGAUCACUAGGAAAAGAUAUGCGCACGCAUAACAUCAAGUCGGUGCUAGAGCUCGGAGUCAGAGCCAACCCCAUACAUCAGAGAGACUGUGAGCCCAGCCAGCACACACAGCAUCCGCAGAGGAGAAAAGAAAAAAGAAAAAAGGAGAGACAGCGUGUCAAUGGCGUUCACACACACUUCCACAAUGGACGAUGCUUAUCCGGCGCUUCGAUUCCGCCCGCCGCCGUUCUAAUACGCAUUCGCUGCUUCAUCGUUCAGCGAGAUCAACACGAAAAUAUACAGGCUGUAUAGUAUGGCAUACGUGUGCAGACCGGCGCAUUUAUAAAACGAUAACGGGGGAGAAGAGUAUAAUAGAGAGAGAGAGG